AUAAAAAGGAAUAAAUUGAACCGGCUGGCCUCCUGUAUAUGGGACAAAUUCCCAUUCCCCGGCCCGCGGAAUCCAGGUCACAACCCUGCCCGAGGCGACCCGCCGCAGCCCAG
Long non-coding RNA from Drosophila subobscura, 113 nucleotides. RefSeq lists it as uncharacterized. The transcript has 4 exons. The record is from RefSeq and is a predicted model, not a curated record. Lineage: Eukaryota; Metazoa; Arthropoda; Insecta; Diptera; Drosophilidae.